Molecule: long non-coding RNA, 466 nt
Organism: Pantherophis guttatus
Lineage: Eukaryota; Metazoa; Chordata; Lepidosauria; Squamata; Colubridae
Source: RefSeq, a predicted model, not a curated record
CAGGAAGUGUGAUCCAGACUGCUUGUAGGGCUGGCAGCUUCGUCCGGAAGUCCUUUGACGCGGGAUUUUAAAAUGUCGGAGCAACGCGGAUCCUGCUGAAUACGUGGUGAUGGCUUACUGUUGACAAGACCAGAGGCAGUAACAAGAAUUUUCUGCUUAUACGAGGUAUUUCUGAAAAGAAUUCUUCCUAGCAACAUUCUAUUUAAAAAAAGACUCAUGUAGCAGAGGACAUUGUUGCAAGAUUUGCAUACAAAGGACAAUUAUGUAAACACUGUAAGUUUGUACAUUUAUCUAAUAUUCAAGUAGACAGGGUUUGAAUCCCAGAAGGGUAUGGCUAGCUGAUGAGAGCUAAAUAGCUUGAAAUAGAUCUAUACUAGUCUCCCUUUAUUUCUUUGUCGGUAAACAUAAAUUCAACACUGUAAGUCUGUGUUACUGAUAUAAAUAAAAUGACUAGCAUGAGAGAUCA